This 371-nucleotide ribosomal RNA is filed under the name uncultured organism. RNAcentral describes it as "partial 16S ribosomal RNA". It matches the Rfam family "Bacterial small subunit ribosomal RNA", at positions 527 to 896 of the family's 1533-position model. The record is from RNAcentral.
GUAGGUGGCAAGCGUUGUCCGGAAUUAUUGGGCGUAAAGCGCGCGCAGGCGGUUCUUUAAGUCUGAUGUGAAAGCCCACGGCUCAACCGUGGAGGGUCAUUGGAAACUGGAGAACUUGAGUACAGAAGAGGAAAGCGGAAUUCCACGUGUAGCGGUGAAAUGCGUAGAGAUGUGGAGGAACACCAGUGGCGAAGGCGGCUUUCUGGUCUGUAACCGACGCUGAGGCGCGAAAGCGUGGGGAGCAAACAGGAUUAGAUACCCUGGUAGUCCACGCCGUAAACGAUGAGUGCUAAGUGUUAGGGGGUUUCCGCCCCCCUUAGUGCUGCAGCUAACGCAUUAAGCACUCCGCCUGGGAUACGGCCGCAAGGCUG